GGUUAAGCGACUAAGCGUACACGGUGGAUGCCCUGGCAGUCAGAGGCGAUGAAGGACGUGCUAAUCUGCGAAAAGCGUCGGUAAGGUGAUAUGAACCGUUACAGCCGGCGAUGUCCGAAUGGGGAAACCCAGUGCAAUUCGUUGCACUAUCGUUAACUGAAUACAUAGGUUAACGAGGCGAACCGGGGGAACUGAAACAUCUAAGUACCCCGAGGAAAAGAAAUCAACCGAGAUUCCCCCAGUAGCGGCGAGCGAACGGGGAGCAGCCCAGAGUCUGAAUCAGCUUGUGUGUUAGUGGAACGGUCUGGAAAGUCCGACGGUACAGGGUGAUAGUCCCGUACACCAAAAUGCACAGGCUGUGAACUCGAAGAGUAGGGCGGGACACGUGGUAUCCUGUCUGAAUAUGGGGGGACCAUCCUCCAAGGCUAAAUACUCCUGACUGACCGAUAGUGAACCAGUACCGUGAGGGAAAGGCGAAAAGAACCCCGGCGAGGGGAGUGAAAAAGAACCUGAAACCGUGUACGUACAAGCAGUGGGAGCACCUUCGGGUGUGACUGCGUACCUUUUGUAUAAUGGGUCAGCGACUUAUAUUCUGUAGCAAGGUUAACCGUAUAGGGGAGCCGCAGGGAAACCGAGUCUUAACUGGGCGUUAAGUUGCAGGGUAUAGACCCGAAACCCGGUGAUCUAGCCAUGGGCAGGUUGAAGGUUGGGUAACACUAACUGGAGGACCGAACCGACUAAUGUUGAAAAAUUAGCGGAUGACUUGUGGCUGGGGGUGAAAGGCCAAUCAAACCGGGAGAUAGCUGGUUCUCCCCGAAAGCUAUUUAGGUAGCGCCUCGUGAAUUCAUCUUCGGGGGUAGAGCACUGUUUCGGCUAGGGGGUCAUCCCGACUUACCAACCCGAUGCAAACUACGAAUACCGAAGAAUGUUAUCACGGGAGACACACGGCGGGUGCUAACGUCCGUCGUGAAGAGGGAAACAACCCAGACCGCCAGCUAAGGUCCCAAAGUCAUGGUUAAGUGGGAAACGAUGUGGGAAGGCACAGACAGCCAGGAUGUUGGCUUAGAAGCAGCCAUCAUUUAAAGAAAGCGUAAUAGCUCACUGGUCGAGUCGGCCUGCGCGGAAGAUGUAACGGGGCUAAACCAUGCACCGAAGCUGCGGCAGCGACACUAUGUGUUGUUGGGUAGGGGAGCGUUCUGUAAGCCUGCGAAGGUGUGCUGUGAGGCAUGCUGGAGGUAUCAGAAGUGCGAAUGCUGACAUAAGUAACGAUAAAGCGGGUGAAAAGCCCGCUCGCCGGAAGACCAAGGGUUCCUGUCCAACGUUAAUCGGGGCAGGGUGAGUCGACCCCUAAGGCGAGGCCGAAAGGCGUAGUCGAUGGGAAACAGGUUAAUAUUCCUGUACUUGGUGUUACUGCGAAGGGGGGACGGAGAAGGCUAUGUUAGCCGGGCGACGGUUGUCCCGGUUUAAGCAUGUAGGCUGGUUGUCCAGGCAAAUCCGGAUAAUCAAGGCUGAGGUGUGAUGACGAGGCACUACGGUGCUGAAGUAACAAAUGCCCUGCUUCCAGGAAAAGCCUCUAAGCAUCAGGUAACAUUAAAUCGUACCCCAAACCGACACAGGUGGUCAGGUAGAGAAUACCAAGGCGCUUGAGAGAACUCGGGUGAAGGAACUAGGCAAAAUGGUGCCGUAACUUCGGGAGAAGGCACGCUGGUGUGUAGGUGAAGUCCCUGCGGAUGGAGCUGAGACCAGUCGAAGAUACCAGCUGGCUGCAACUGUUUAUUAAAAACACAGCACUGUGCAAACACGAAAGUGGACGUAUACGGUGUGACGCCUGCCCGGUGCCGGAAGGUUAAUUGAUGGGGUUAUCCGUAAGGAGAAGCUCUUGAUCGAAGCCCCGGUAAACGGCGGCCGUAACUAUAACGGUCCUAAGGUAGCGAAAUUCCUUGUCGGGUAAGUUCCGACCUGCACGAAUGGCGUAAUGAUGGCCAGGCUGUCUCCACCCGAGACUCAGUGAAAUUGAACUCGCUGUGAAGAUGCAGUGUACCCGCGGCAAGACGGAAAGACCCCGUGAACCUUUACUAUAGCUUGACACUGAACAUUGAGCCUUGAUGUGUAGGAUAGGUGGGAGGCUUUGAAGCGUGGACGCCAGUCUGCGUGGAGCCAACCUUGAAAUACCACCCUUUAAUGUUUGAUGUUCUAACGUUGGCCCCUGACCGGGGUUGCGGACAGUGUCUGGUGGGUAGUUUGACUGGGGCGGUCUCCUCCCAAAGCGUAACGGAGGAGCACGAAGGUUAGCUAAUCCUGGUCGGACAUCAGGAGGUUAGUGCAAUGGCAUAAGCUAGCUUGACUGCGAGCGUGACGGCGCGAGCAGGUGCGAAAGCAGGUCAUAGUGAUCCGGUGGUUCUGAAUGGAAGGGCCAUCGCUCAACGGAUAAAAGGUACUCCGGGGAUAACAGGCUGAUACCGCCCAAGAGUUCAUAUCGACGGCGGUGUUUGGCACCUCGAUGUCGGCUCAUCACAUCCUGGGGCUGAAGUAGGUCCCAAGGGUAUGGCUGUUCGCCAUUUAAAGUGGUACGCGAGCUGGGUUUAGAACGUCGUGAGACAGUUCGGUCCCUAUCUGCCGUGGGCGCUGGAGAAUUGAGGGGGGCUGCUCCUAGUACGAGAGGACCGGAGUGGACGCAUCACUGGUGUUCGGGUUGUCAUGCCAAUGGCACUGCCCGGUAGCUAAAUGCGGAAGAGAUAAGUGCUGAAAGCAUCUAAGCACGAAACUUGCCCCGAGAUGAGUUCUCCCUGAGACUUUAAGUCUCCUGAAGGAACGUUGAAGACGACGACGUUGAUAGGCCGGGUGUGUAAGCGCAGCGAUGCGUUGAGCUAACCGGUACUAAUGAACCGUGAGGCUUAACCUU
Molecule: ribosomal RNA, 2902 nt
Filed under: Klebsiella pneumoniae
Lineage: Bacteria; Pseudomonadati; Pseudomonadota; Gammaproteobacteria; Enterobacterales; Enterobacteriaceae
Description: 23S ribosomal RNA
Rfam family: Bacterial large subunit ribosomal RNA
Source: RNAcentral